AUGGAGUGGCGGAGUUUUGUGAUCAAAGUCAUCAGUUCCAUUAGGAAAGGGAUUGCAUCCUUUGUGAUGCUUGUAUAUUGAGAAAUUUAGUAUGAGCGGAAUGCGAGAGUCUUUAAAAGCACUUCUACGUUGUCGAGUAUCAUCACUCGGAAGAUAAAAAAGGAAGCCAAUAUGUGGAGACUGGCGGGAGUGAGGCAAUUGAGUUUGAUCAUGCCACGAGAGUAG
RNAcentral lists this ribosomal RNA (225 nucleotides) under Triticum aestivum (bread wheat). RNAcentral describes it as "partial small subunit ribosomal RNA". The record is from RNAcentral. Lineage: Eukaryota; Viridiplantae; Streptophyta; Magnoliopsida; Poales; Poaceae.